ACUAAUGUUAUGCCUGUUGAGGUAAAACAACAUAAAAAACGUAAAAACAAGAGAAGCAAAAAGGUUUCUCAAGGAUCAGUGUUGGAUGAAGACCAACUGGCUGAGAAGGCCUUGGAAGAGGUCAUGACGAUCAUGGACUCCCUCUGUCCUGAGAUCCAAGAAAAUGUGGAAGCAAAAGAAACCGAGGAGUGUGGAGAGCCAGAGAUAACAAACAAGUCGUUUCUGGAGUAUAUGGACGAGUUGUGCAGCGACGAAGACUUUGUCGAAAACGUGGACUCAUUCCUGAACAUCGACUUCCUGGACUCCUUCGAACACGAGGGGAGGCAAACACUGAAUACAGAGAACCUGGAAGUUCUGAACCUGGAAACUAAAGCAUCAGAUUUAAGGUCAGAAAGUGGAAGCUUGAGUCCAAUGAAGAGAAAGCGGCAGCAAUGUGUGGCUUCAGAAGAGAGGCUAAAUGAGCCAUCGAUGGACGAGGUGGGGACGGAAGAUGAUGCUUUCAGGUCAAGUCCGAUGAAAAGGCACAAGGUGGAGAAGAAAAGAGAAGCUAAAGUUACCAAGAAACGAGACAAGGUGGAGAGAUGUGGCUGUACUGGACGAUAGUCCUCAAGGAGAAGUGAAACAGCGUAAAGAAUUCAUCGAUUUUAGAUCAUCGGUGGACAAAUGAGAGAAACAGCUGGUUGAAAAGUCGUAAUCAAAAAAAGACCCAGCAAAACCCGCUUAAAAUAAUUCACAGUUUAAUUAUUAAACAAUACUCACACAGUAAUGUAAGAAUUCACUUCCAUACAAUAAACGUCUACAUUUACAGAGUGUUUGGUUUCUUUUUGCACUUAUAAAAAACAGAACAUGCUCAAACAAAAGGAGGUUUUAUAAAUAAGACACUUCAUGGCUUCGAGUCCUUUGACAGCAUCUGGAUCAACAUUUAUUACGAGGAAUUAAAAAAAGGCACAAAAGGUCCUCACACACACACAAACAGCCACAGCAGCCUCACAGGGUUUUAGAUAAAAGCAAACAUCCUACCCAACACACUCUCAGACAUGAUAAAUUAUUUUUGUUUUCUGCUUCGAGGAAGUGAAGCAGAACCGACGGGAAAAAC
Molecule: RNA transcript, 1096 nt
Organism: Acanthochromis polyacanthus (spiny chromis)
Lineage: Eukaryota; Metazoa; Chordata; Actinopteri; Pomacentridae
Gene name: NUT family member 1-like
Exons: 5
Source: RefSeq, a predicted model, not a curated record